RNAcentral lists this ribosomal RNA (460 nucleotides) under uncultured bacterium. RNAcentral describes it as "partial 16S ribosomal RNA". It matches the Rfam family "Bacterial small subunit ribosomal RNA", at positions 338 to 795 of the family's 1533-position model. The record is from RNAcentral.
CCUACGGGAGGCAGCAGUGAGGAAUAUUGGUCAAUGGGCGAGAGCCUGAACCAGCCAAGUCGCGUGAAGGAUGACGGCCCUACGGGUUGUAACCUUCUUUUGUCAGGGAGCAAUUGAGUCCACGUGUGGUCUUAGCGAUAGUACCUGAAGAAAAAGCAUCGGCUAACUACGUGCCAGCCGCCGCGGUAAUACGGAGGAUGCGAGCGUUAUCCGGAUUUAUUGGGUUAAAGGGGUGCGUAGGCGGAAUAUAUAGUCAGCGGUAAACAUUCGGGGCUCAAGCCCGUCGUGCCGUUGAAACUGAUGUUCUUGAGUGGGCGAGAAGUAUGCGGAAUGCGUGGUGUAGCGGUGAAAGGCAUAGAUAUCACGCAGAACUCCGAUUGCGAAGGCAGCAUACCGGCGCCCAACUGACGCUGAAGCACGAAAGCGUGGGUAUCGAACAGGAUUAGAUACCCCUGUAGUC